GAUGAACGCUGGCGGCGUGCCUAAUACAUGCAAGUCGAGCGAACAGACGAGGAGCUUGCUCCUCUGACGUUAGCGGCGGACGGGUGAGUAACACGUGGAUAACCUACCUAUAAGACUGGGAUAACUUCGGGAAACCGGAGCUAAUACCGGAUAAUAUAUUGAACCGCAUGGUUCAAUAGUGAAAGACGGUUUUGCUGUCACUUAUAGAUGGAUCCGCGCCGCAUUAGCUAGUUGGUAAGGUAACGGCUUACCAAGGCAACGAUGCGUAGCCGACCUGAGAGGGUGAUCGGCCACACUGGAACUGAGACACGGUCCAGACUCCUACGGGAGGCAGCAGUAGGGAAUCUUCCGCAAUGGGCGAAAGCUUGACGGAGCAACGCCGCGUGAGUGAUGAAGGUCUUCGGAUCGUAAAACUCUGUUAUUAGGGAAGAACAAAUGUGUAAGUAACUAUGCACGUCUUGAUGGUACCUAAUCAGAAAGCCACGGCUAACUACGUG
This 497-nucleotide ribosomal RNA is filed under the name uncultured bacterium. Its description in RNAcentral is "partial 16S ribosomal RNA". It matches the Rfam family "Bacterial small subunit ribosomal RNA", at positions 28 to 507 of the family's 1533-position model. The record is from RNAcentral.